UCUGGUUGAUCCUGCCAGUAGUCAUAUGCUUGUCUCAAAGAUUAAGCCAUGCAUGUCUAAGUACAAGCCUAACUAAGGUGAAACCGCGAAUGGCUCAUUAAAUCACACCUAAUGUACUGGAUAGUCUCAGUUACUUGGAUAACUGCGGUAAUUCUGGAGCUAAUGCAUGCGCACAAGCCCCGACUCACGGAGGGGCGCUUUUAUUAGAUCAAAACCAAACGGCCUCGUGCCGUCUUCCUGGUGAUUCUGAAUAACUUUGGGCCGAUCGCAUGGCCUUGAGCCGGCGACGUAUCCUUCCAAGGUGUGCCUCAUCAWCWU
This 318-nucleotide ribosomal RNA is filed under the name Paracyclopina nana. RNAcentral describes it as "bacterial SSU rRNA". It matches the Rfam family "Eukaryotic small subunit ribosomal RNA", at positions 1 to 323 of the family's 1831-position model. The record is from RNAcentral. Lineage: Eukaryota; Metazoa; Arthropoda; Copepoda; Cyclopoida; Cyclopettidae.